RNAcentral lists this ribosomal RNA (229 nucleotides) under Salmonella enterica subsp. enterica serovar Anatum. RNAcentral describes it as "partial 16S ribosomal RNA". It matches the Rfam family "Bacterial small subunit ribosomal RNA", at positions 1029 to 1258 of the family's 1533-position model. The record is from RNAcentral. Lineage: Bacteria; Pseudomonadati; Pseudomonadota; Gammaproteobacteria; Enterobacterales; Enterobacteriaceae.
GUGAGACAGGUGCUGCAUGGCUGUCGUCAGCUCGUGUUGUGAAAUGUUGGGUUAAAUCCCGCAACGAGCGCAACCCUUAUCCUUUGUUGCCAGCGAUUAGGUCGGGAACUCAAAGGAGACUGCCAGUGAUAAACUGGAGGAAGGUGGGGAUGACGUCAAGUCAUCAUGGCCCUUACGACCAGGGCUACACACGUGCUACAAUGGCGCAUACAAAGAGAAGCGACCUCGC